UGGGGGAUAUUGCACAAUGGGCGAAAGCCUGAUGCAGCGACGCCGCGUGGGGGAUGAAGGCCUUCGGGUUGUAAACUUCUUUUGCUCUGAACAAGGCGCACCAUGCGGUGUGUUGAGUGUAGGGGUUGAUUAGCGCCGGCUAACUACGUGCCAGCAGCCGCGGUAAUACGUAGCGCGCGAGCGUUGUCCGGAAGUUGUGGGCGUAAAGGGCUUGUAGGUGGCUGGUUGCGUCUGUCGUGAAAGCUCAUGGGUUAACUGGGGGUUGGCGGUGGGAACGGGCUGGCUAGAGUGCAGUAGAGGAUACUGGAAUUCCUGGUGUAGCGGUGGAAUGCGCAGAUAUCAGGAGGAAUACCGGUGGCGAAGGCGGGUCUCUGGGCUGUUACUGACACUGAGGAGCGAAAGCGUGGGGAGCGAACAGG
Molecule: ribosomal RNA, 419 nt
Filed under: bacterium
Lineage: Bacteria
Description: partial 16S ribosomal RNA
Rfam family: Bacterial small subunit ribosomal RNA
Source: RNAcentral